ACGAACGCUGGCGGCGUGCUUAACACAUGCAAGUCGAACGGAAAGGCCCUGCUUUUGUGGGGUGCUCGAGUGGCGAACGGGUGAGUAACACGUGAGUAACCUGCCCCUGACUUUGGGAUAACUUCAGGAAACUGGGGCUAAUACCGGAUAGGAGCUCCUGCUGCAUGGUGGGGGUUGGAAAGUUUCGGCGGUUGGGGAUGGACUCGCGGCUUAUCAGCUUGUUGGUGGGGUAGUGGCUACCAAGGCUUUGACGGGUAGCCGGCCUGAGAGGGUGACCGGCCACAUUGGGACUGAGAUACGGCCCAGACUCCUACGGGAGGCAGCAGUGGGGAAUAUUGCACAAUGGGCGGAAGCCUGAUGCAGCAACGCCGCGUGCGGGAUGACGGCCUUCGGGUUGUAAACCGCUUUCGCCUGUGACGAAGCGUGAGUGACGGUAAUGGGUAAAGAAGCACCGGCUAACUACGUG
RNAcentral lists this ribosomal RNA (466 nucleotides) under uncultured bacterium. Its description in RNAcentral is "partial 16S ribosomal RNA". It matches the Rfam family "Bacterial small subunit ribosomal RNA", at positions 29 to 507 of the family's 1533-position model. The record is from RNAcentral.